This 77-nucleotide transfer RNA is filed under the name bacterium. RNAcentral's name for it is "tRNA-Arg". It matches the Rfam family "tRNA". Rfam says of the family: Transfer RNA (tRNA) molecules are approximately 80 nucleotides in length. Their secondary structure includes four short double-helical elements and three loops (D, anti-codon, and T loops). Further hydrogen bonds mediate the characteristic L-shaped molecular structure. tRNAs have two regions of fundamental functional importance: the anti-codon, which is responsible for specific mRNA codon recognition, and the 3' end, to which the tRNAs corresponding amino acid is attached (by aminoacyl-tRNA synthetases). tRNAs cope with the degeneracy of the genetic code in two manners: having more than one tRNA (with a specific anti-codon) for a particular amino acid; and 'wobble' base-pairing, i.e. permitting non-standard base-pairing at the 3rd anti-codon position. RNAcentral also lists the same sequence under 1 other name. The record is from RNAcentral.
GCGCCCGUAGCUCAUCUGGAUAGAGCAACAGCCUUCUAAGCUGUGGGUAAUAGGUUCGAGUCCUAUCGGGCGUGCAA